This 368-nucleotide ribosomal RNA is filed under the name uncultured beta proteobacterium. Its description in RNAcentral is "bacterial SSU rRNA". It matches the Rfam family "Bacterial small subunit ribosomal RNA", at positions 240 to 600 of the family's 1533-position model. Lineage: Bacteria; Pseudomonadati; Pseudomonadota; Betaproteobacteria. The record is from RNAcentral.
AUUAGCUAGUUGGUGAGGUAAAGGCUUACCAAGGCGACGAUCNGUAGCUGGUCUGAGAGGAUGACCAGCCACACUGGGACUGAGACACGGCCCAGACUCCUACGGGAGGCAGCAGUGGGGAAUUUUGGACAAUGGGGGCAACCCUGAUCCAGCCAUGCCGCGUGAGUGAAGAAGGCCUUCGGGUUGUAAAGCUCUUUCNGCCGGAACGAAAUCGUCCGGGCUAAUACCCGUGAUGGAUGACGGUACCGGAAGAAGAAGCACCGGCUAACUACGUGCCAGCAGCCGCGGUAAUACGUAGGGUGCANGCGUUAAUCGGAAUUACUGGGCGUAAAGCGUGCGCAGGCGGNUUUNUAAGUCAGAUGUGAAAU